AUGAAACCGGAACGCUAGUUUCGGUGGAGCCGUCCUUGAAAUACCACCCUGGUUUGUUUGAGGUUCUAACCUUGGCCCGUGAUCCGGGUCGGGGACAGUGCAUGGUAGGCAGUUUGACUGGGGCGGUCUCCUCCCAAAGCGUAACGGAGGAGUACGAAGGUACGCUAGGUACGGUCGGAAAUCGUGCUGAUAGUGCAAUGGCAUAAGCGUGCUUAACUGCGAGACCGACAAGUCGAGCAGGUGCGAAAGCAGGUCAUAGUGAUCCGGUGGUUCUGUAUGGAAGGGCCAUCGCUCAACGGAUAAAAGGUACUCUGGGGAUAACAGGCUGAUACCGCCCAAGAGUUCAUAUCGACGGCGGUGUUUGGCACCUCGAUGUCGGCUCAUCUCAUCCUGGGGCUGUAGCCGGUCCCAAGGGUAUGGCUGUUCGCCAUUUAAAGAGGUACGUGAGCUGGGUUUAAAACGUCGUGAGACAGUUUGGUCCCUAUCUGCCGUGGGCGUUGGAUAUUUGAAGGGGGCUGCUCCUAGUACGAGAGGACCGGAGUGGACGAACCUCUGGUGUACCGGUUGUGACGCCAGUCGCAUCGCCGGGUAGCUAUGUUCGGAAGAGAUAACCGCUGAAAGCAUCUAAGCGGGAAACUCGCCUUAAGAUGAGAUAUCCCUGGAGGCUUGACCUCCUUGAAGGGUCGUUCGAGACCAGGACGUUGAUAGGUCAGGUGUGUAAGCGCAGUAAUGCGUUCAGCUAACUGAUACUAAUUGCCCGUAAGGCUUGAUCCUAUAACA
This 780-nucleotide ribosomal RNA is filed under the name Burkholderia ubonensis. RNAcentral's name for it is "bacterial LSU rRNA". It matches the Rfam family "Bacterial large subunit ribosomal RNA", at positions 2157 to 2925 of the family's 2925-position model. Lineage: Bacteria; Pseudomonadati; Pseudomonadota; Betaproteobacteria; Burkholderiales; Burkholderiaceae. The record is from RNAcentral.